Molecule: ribosomal RNA, 576 nt
Filed under: Shigella sonnei
Lineage: Bacteria; Pseudomonadati; Pseudomonadota; Gammaproteobacteria; Enterobacterales; Enterobacteriaceae
Description: partial 23S ribosomal RNA
Rfam family: Bacterial large subunit ribosomal RNA
Source: RNAcentral
CGUCUGGAAAGGCGCGCGAUACAGGGUGACAGCCCCGUACACAAAAAUGCACAUAUUGUGAGCUCGAUGAGUAGGGCGGGACACGUGGUAUCCUGUCUGAAUAUGGGGGGCCCAUCCUCCAAGGCUAAAUACUCCUGACUGACCGAUAGUGAACCAGUACCGUGAGGGAAAGGCGAAAAGAACCCCGGCGAGGGGAGUGAAAAAGAACCUGAAACCGUGUACGUACAAGCAGUGGGAGCACGCUUAGGCGUGUGACUGCGUACCUUUUGUAUAAUGGGUCAGCGACUUAUAUUCUGUAGCAAGGUUAACCGAAUAGGGGAGCCGAAGGGAAACCGAGUCUUAACUGGGCGUUAAGUUGCAGGGUAUAGACCCGAAACCCGGUGAUCUAGCCAUGGGCAGGUUGAAGGUUGGGUAACACUAACUGGAGGACCGAACCGACUAAUGUUGAAAAAUUAGCGGAUGACUUGUGGCUGGGGGUGAAAGGCCAAUCAAACCGGGAGAUAGCUGGUUCUCCCCGAAAGCUAUUUAGGUAGCGCCUCGUGAAUUCAUCUCCGGGGGUAGAGCACUGUUUCGGCA